RNAcentral lists this ribosomal RNA (406 nucleotides) under uncultured bacterium. Its description in RNAcentral is "partial 16S ribosomal RNA". It matches the Rfam family "Bacterial small subunit ribosomal RNA", at positions 30 to 526 of the family's 1533-position model. The record is from RNAcentral.
AUUGAACGCUGGCGGCAGGCCUAACACAUGCAAGUCGAACGAGCGGCGGACGGGUGAGUAAUGUCUGGGGAACUGCCUGAUGGAGGGGGAUAACUACUGGAAACGGUAGCUAAUACCGCAUACCAUCAGAUGCCCCCAGAUGGGAUUAGCUAGUAGGUGGGGUAACGGCUCACCUAGGCGACGAUCCCUAGCUGGUCUGAGAGGAUGACCAGCAACACUGGAACUAAGACACGGUCCAGACUCCUACGGGAGGCAGCAGUGGGGAAUAUUGCACAAUGGGCGCAAGCCUGAUGCAGCCAUGCCGCGUGUAUGAAGAAGGCCGUCGGGUUGUAAAGCACUUUCAGCGGGGAGGCGUUACCCGCAGAAGAAGAACCGGCUAACUCCGUGCCAGCAGCCGCGGUAAUAC